This is a long non-coding RNA of Chiroxiphia lanceolata (lance-tailed manakin), 168 nucleotides long. RefSeq lists it as uncharacterized. The record is from RefSeq and is a predicted model, not a curated record. Lineage: Eukaryota; Metazoa; Chordata; Aves; Passeriformes; Pipridae. The transcript is spliced from 3 exons.
GGGCCGGGCCGGGCGCGCGGCGCCGCUUCUUAACGCGCCUCGCGGGGCGGCGGGAGCGCCGAGCGCCGGAGGGACCGCGACUGUCGCGACAUGAGCGAGAGACAAGGAACCGGAGCUACAAAUGGAAAAGACAAGACAUCUGGUGAGAAUGAUGGGCAAAAGAAGGUC